Molecule: ribosomal RNA, 492 nt
Filed under: uncultured bacterium
Lineage: Bacteria
Description: partial 16S ribosomal RNA
Rfam family: Bacterial small subunit ribosomal RNA
Source: RNAcentral
GACGAACGCUGGCGGCGCGCUUAACACAUGCAAGUCGAACGGAAAGGCCUGCUUUCCCUUGUGGAUUGCGGGUACUCGAGUGGCGAACGGGUGAGUAACACGUGAGUGAUCUGCCCCCAACUUGGGUAUAAGCCUGGGAAACUGGGUCUAAUUCCCGAUAGGACUGCAGGGUGGUGCCUGUGGUGGAAAACGAUUUUCUAGUGGUUGGGGAUGAGCUCGCGGCCUAUCAGCUUGUUGGUGGGGUAAUGGCCUACCAAGGCGGCGACGGGUAGCCGGCCUGAGGGUGGACGGCCACAUUGGGACUGAGAUACGGCCCAGACUCCUACGGGAGGCAGCAGUGGGGAAUAUUGCACAAUGGGCGGAAGCCUGAUGCAGCGACGCCGCGUGGGGGAUGACGGCCUUCGGGUUGUAAACUCCUUUCGACCGCGAGGAAGCCACCUGGUUGGAAGGGUGGUGACGGUAGUGGUAGAAGAAGCACCGGCUAACUACGUG